RNAcentral lists this ribosomal RNA (253 nucleotides) under uncultured bacterium. RNAcentral's name for it is "partial 16S ribosomal RNA". It matches the Rfam family "Bacterial small subunit ribosomal RNA", at positions 524 to 776 of the family's 1533-position model. The record is from RNAcentral.
UACGGAGGGUGCAAGCGUUAUCCGGAUUUACUGGGUUUAAAGGGUGUGUAGGCGGACUUUUAAGUCAGCGGUGAAAUCUCCGGGCUCAACUCGGAAACUGCCAUUGAUACUAUUUGUCUUGAAUAUUGUGGAGGUAAGCGGAAUAUGUCAUGUAGCGGUGAAAUGCUUAGAUAUGACAUAGAACACCAAUUGCGAAGGCAGCUUACUACACAGUUAUUGACGCUGAGGCACGAAAGCGUGGGGAUCAAACAGG